Molecule: ribosomal RNA, 253 nt
Filed under: uncultured bacterium
Lineage: Bacteria
Description: partial 16S ribosomal RNA
Rfam family: Bacterial small subunit ribosomal RNA
Source: RNAcentral
UACAGAGGUCCCGAGCGUUGUUCGGAUUCACUGGGCGUAAAGGGUGCGUAGGCGGUUCUGAAAGUCUGAUGUGAAAUCUCCAGGCCCAACCUGGAAACUGCAUUAGAAACUACAGGGCUAGAGGCUUGGAGGGGGAACUGGAAUUCUCGGUGUAGCAGUGAAAUGCGUAGAGAUCGAGAGGAACACCAGUGGCGAAGGCGAGUUCCUGGACAAGUCCUGACGCUGAGGCACGAAAGCGUGGGGAGCAAACAGG